This 1942-nucleotide non-coding RNA is filed under the name Pan troglodytes (chimpanzee). The record is from RNAcentral. Lineage: Eukaryota; Metazoa; Chordata; Mammalia; Primates; Hominidae.
GAUAGUGUUCCAGACAGUUUUAUCAUCCACAUUGCUGACCUGGAAGAUGCAUCAUUGUCUAUGAUAUCUGCAAUGGAAAUGAUCACUAGGCAAUUUCAGCCUUGCAAAUCUAACUGUGGCGUGUGGAAAGAAGAGGAACCAGAAAAGAAUAUGUUUGUGAAGUUCUGGCUUGAAUCUCGUGCCGGGAGUGUGAAGAAGGUCCUUGCUUCCCCUUCACCUUCUGCCAUGAUUGUAAGUUUCCUGAGGCCUCCCAGCCAUGCUUCCUGUUAAGCCUGUGAAACUCCUUUGGAAUGAGUACACAUCCAGGAGUGAAGAAGACAAGCUCAACUGCCAUUCUCUGAGCAGUUCAAGGCAUACUGAGGUGCGGGAGUUGUGUGGUGGUCCACUCUGACUGCAAGCACCCCUUUCUUGAACCGAACAGAGUCAAGUGGAAUCAAAGGACAUUACCUGUUGAUUCUUGGGCAAGGCCCAGAAUUUGGUGGACAUACUUAAAGAAGAAAGGAAUCUUCAGCUAAAGUGUCUACGAUCAAUUCAGAUUUGGAGGGCAUGGAUCUUCUGACAGUAGGGGCCUUUCUAGGAUUUUUUGGUUGAAGAGAUGAACUUCAACUUGGUUCCAGAUUGGUGGUCCAGCUAUUCUGCUGGCAACAUUUUUCAGGGCAAGGCUUUUGCUACUGGAAUGAUUUAAGGAAGAUCCCUCAGUGUUUCAGAGUAAAGAUAUUUCUAAAGAAGUACCUGUGUCAUUGCCCAUCUUGAAGAUUGACUUUUAUGGAUUGCUCAAAUACUGAUAUCGGCUCAAUGUCAAUAUAUACUCCUACAUACAAAAUCCAUCUUCUAAUCAUAAUCACUAGGUUUUAACCAUUUAAGGCCAUGAGGUGUGAGGUCUUUUGAGAGUGAAAGAACUCAUAUUAAUCCAGCUCCUGACUCCUAAAAAAACAGUAACUCUUGUAAUUAAAAUGGGCAGAGUCCAUCAAGAAGCAGUGUCCAGAAGCACUGGGCCAUGUGGCGGGCAGCAGUGUCACCAGGAAACAUGCUGAGCUGGGUCAGGAACUGCGCAAGGAGGAGGAGACACUGCUCCUGUUGAAGGCAGCCCUCGCAUGACCUGCUGAAUCACAUCAAGGUUGAAGCAUUGGCCCUCCAAUCAAUGAUUAGUUCUAGGAGAGGGGAUGAGGUGCUGUCUUCUCCAACUUCUCCAACUGUGCCUGAACAGUCACACGUCAUGUCAGUGCAUAUAGAGAAUGAAGCAUCAGUCAACCAAACUACGCUGGAGUGGAGCAUAGAGUCCUGUGACAGAAGAAGAGGAGGAAGAGAAAGAAGAAUCAGAUCCCUAAAGGAGGGAAAAAGCCAGGAUUCGUUAUACAAAUUAAAUUUCUAAGUCUCAGGCUCUUUCUCCCCAAGGAAAUCAUCUUGCCAUGAGCCCUAGGGCCUGCUUGAAUGGAGAGCAAGAACUAUAGGAGGAUGUGUAGCUGCAAAAAUUUCUCAUCAAUAACUCAAUCUUCAGAACGUUAUGACAUACAGAAAAUCAAAGAUGCUGUGUCUUAGCAUUGAGCAAUAUGGGUGGUGCUAUGUCUGUAGUCUGGUCAAAUUCAGUAACUGUUCAAAACAAAAUUUCCUCUGGAAUACUAUUGAGAAAAUCUGGCAUUUGCAAAAAGGGCAGAGUUUAAAUAUGAGUCAGUCUUUCCAAUCAACAAUACCUCUUUUAAGAAAACCAACUAAAAGCUGUUUGCAUGCCGUUGAAUCCUUGUGAGCAGUUAGGCCACAGUCUAGGACAGAAAGAUGACACGGGGAAGGACUGAGGGCCAUCUGAGAACAAAGGUUGUUGCUACUUCUCAGAGUCAUUGAGACACACUGCAUGCUGUAGACUGCUUUGUGUAGCUGUUAUCACAUCUUGCUUGAGAUGUCAUUGGCAGAAUGUUCUUGGAAAUAAAUUAUAGAUAAAUAGCCA